AAUAGAUACCCCGGUAGUCCACGCCGUAAACGAUGAGUGCUAAGUGUUAGAGGGUUUCCGCCCUUUAGUGCUGCAGCUAACGCAUUAAGCACUCCGCCUGGGGAGUACGGUCGCAAGACUGAAACUCAAAGGAAUUGACGGGGGCCCGCACAAGCGGUGGAGCAUGUGGUUUAAUUCGAAGCAACGCGAAGAACCUUACCAGGUCUUGACAUCCUCUGACAACUCUAGAGAUAGAGCGUUCCCCUUCGGGGGACAGAGUGACAGGUGGUGCAUGGUUGUCGUCAGCUCGUGUCGUGAGAUGUUGGGUUAAGUCCCGCAACGAGCGCAACCCUUGAUCUUAGUUGCCAGCAUUUAGUUGGGCACUCUAAGGUGACUGCCGGUGACAAACCGGAGGAAGGUGGGGAUGACGUCAAAUCAUCAUGCCCCUUAUGACCUGGGCUACACACGUGCUACAAUGGAUGGUACAAAGGGCUGCAAGACCGCGAGGUCAAGCCAAUCCCAUAAAACCAUUCUCAGUUCGGAUUGUAGG
This 529-nucleotide ribosomal RNA is filed under the name uncultured bacterium. RNAcentral's name for it is "bacterial SSU rRNA". It matches the Rfam family "Bacterial small subunit ribosomal RNA", at positions 777 to 1304 of the family's 1533-position model. The record is from RNAcentral.